UCCUACGGGAGGCAGCAGUGAGGAACAUUGGUCAAUGGAGGAAACUCUGAACCAGCCAUGCCGCGUGAAGGAUGACGGCCCUAUGGGUUGUAAACUUCUUUUAUAGAGGAAGAAACUUGUCUACGUGUAGACAACUGACGGUACUCUACGAAUAAGGAUCGGCUAACUCCGUGCCAGCAGCCGCGGUAAUACGGAGGAUCCAAGCGUUAUCCGGAUUCAUUGGGUUUAAAGGGUCCGUAGGCGGGUUUUUAAGUCAGUGGUGAAAGCCGACAGCUCAACUGUCGAACUGCCAUUGAUACUGGAGACCUUGAGUACAAAUGAAGUAGGCGGAAUGAGUCAUGUAGCGGUGAAAUGCAUAGAUAUGACUCAGAACACCGAUUGCGAAGGCAGCUUACUAACAUGUAACUGACGCUGAGGGACGAAAGCGUGGGGAGCGAACAGGAUUAGAUACCCUGGUAGUCCACGCCGUAAACGAUCAUCACUCGCUGUUGGCGAUAUACUGUCAGCGGCCAAGCGAAAGUA
Molecule: ribosomal RNA, 522 nt
Filed under: uncultured bacterium
Lineage: Bacteria
Description: bacterial SSU rRNA
Rfam family: Bacterial small subunit ribosomal RNA
Source: RNAcentral